This 69-nucleotide transfer RNA is filed under the name Marmota marmota marmota (Alpine marmot). It matches the Rfam family "tRNA". From Rfam's summary of the family: Transfer RNA (tRNA) molecules are approximately 80 nucleotides in length. Their secondary structure includes four short double-helical elements and three loops (D, anti-codon, and T loops). Further hydrogen bonds mediate the characteristic L-shaped molecular structure. tRNAs have two regions of fundamental functional importance: the anti-codon, which is responsible for specific mRNA codon recognition, and the 3' end, to which the tRNAs corresponding amino acid is attached (by aminoacyl-tRNA synthetases). tRNAs cope with the degeneracy of the genetic code in two manners: having more than one tRNA (with a specific anti-codon) for a particular amino acid; and 'wobble' base-pairing, i.e. permitting non-standard base-pairing at the 3rd anti-codon position. RNAcentral also lists the same sequence under 2 other names. Lineage: Eukaryota; Metazoa; Chordata; Mammalia; Rodentia; Sciuridae. The record is from Rfam by way of RNAcentral.
GGGGUUGUGGCUCAGUGGUAGAGUGCUUGCCUCACAUGUAUGAGGCACUGGGUUCAAUUCUCAGCACCA